UACUACCACCGGGCACGUCCCCAAGCUGCUCCCAUCCACCACUCCACAUGCUUUUGCCCGUGAGGGAUCCAGUUGUGCUGCAGUGUUGCUGCUGCCGAGCUGGCAGUGGCCUCCUCCACCUCGCGCUCAAUUGUAUGCUUGGCUGGACGCCGGUGCUUUGAUUACCUCGACAACGGUGGCUGCAACUCUGGUGAGCUUCUCAUCUACUGGUUGCACACGCACGCGUCCUCUCCCCAUCUGAUCACCAACGCCGCCUCUCCUCUCGCGAUCCCCAUCUCUCUCACGAGACAGCACCUCUCCUCCCUUUCCCCAUCACUGGCGUUAGGCGGCGAGGACGCCGCAUCCUGGCCACGGCUUCUCCCGGUCAUUUGCCUCCCUCCCAGACUGGCAGCUCAUGCAUCCCGGAGGUGCGGAGCGUGAAUGGCGGUGGGGAUGCAUGAGCUGCCAGUCACCUGCCCGGAGGUGCUGACGCCGGAGACCACCUCCCCAAACAAGUUACAACCCGGUUGUAUUGAAGAUGGUGCAAUUAUUGGUGCAAGAUGUACCAUCUAUUCUCAAUGAUUUUGAUCUAAGGUGUGCACCAAAAUAAUUGAGCUGCUGCAGGCGGCCACAUCCCCAGUCUUCUACGCGAUGCUUCUGCCUGCCACCUCCCUGAAUUAGUGACUACCCGGGAAUCUGGAAGAAGCUGCACCAUGGAAACCCUCUUCAAUACGAACUCAGCAAUCGUGUGUUUUUGGUGGGACGGCGUAG
Lolium rigidum is the source of this 750-nucleotide long non-coding RNA. RefSeq lists it as uncharacterized. The record is from RefSeq and is a predicted model, not a curated record. NCBI's taxonomy places the organism in Eukaryota, Viridiplantae, Streptophyta, Magnoliopsida, Poales, Poaceae. The transcript is spliced from 4 exons.